CACAGACACACAUAUAUAUGCAAACACAUAUACUUAUUUAAUCCUCACAAUGACCCUAUGAAGUAAGUAUCCUAAUCUCCAUUUUAUAGUUGAGGAACUGAAGACACUAACAGGUGAAGAAAAUUGCCCAAAGUUGAUUAGCUGUUGAGUAGUAGAGCUGGGAUUCAAAUUUUUAAGUUGGCCCUAGAGUCCAGACACUCAAUGACUCUUCUACAUAAGGCAAGAAUAAGGGAGUGGAUAUACUAUGAAGAGGAAACAGCAUAAUCAAGGACCCACAGGCAAGAAACUAUAUGAAGAGUACACGGAGGAGUAAGUGGGAAGCAGACAGUGGCAAGAAGUGAGGUGUGGAAACUGAGGUUUGUAGAGGAGCAAUGAAUUGGAUCAAAGAGCUGGUAAGUUGUGAGUCUGAUCCCAAGAGGAUGCACUUUCAUG
RNAcentral lists this long non-coding RNA (432 nucleotides) under Homo sapiens (human). Its description in RNAcentral is "HSALNT0172423". The record is from RNAcentral. Lineage: Eukaryota; Metazoa; Chordata; Mammalia; Primates; Hominidae.